This 253-nucleotide ribosomal RNA is filed under the name uncultured bacterium. RNAcentral describes it as "partial 16S ribosomal RNA". It matches the Rfam family "Bacterial small subunit ribosomal RNA", at positions 524 to 776 of the family's 1533-position model. The record is from RNAcentral.
UACGAACCGUCCAAACGUUAUUCGGAAUUACUGGGCUUAAAGGGUACGUAGGCGGCGCUGUCAGUCGGGUGUGAAAUCCCACGGCUCAACCGUGGAAUUGCGCCCGAUACUGCAGUGCUUGAGGGAGACAGAGGUAAGCGGAACUGAUGGUGGAGCGGUGAAAUGCGUUGAUAUCAUCAGGAACACCAGUGGCGAAAGCGGCUUACUGGGUCUCUUCUGACGCUGAGGUGCGAAAGCGUGGGGAGCAAACAGG